RNAcentral lists this long non-coding RNA (631 nucleotides) under Notechis scutatus (mainland tiger snake). RNAcentral describes it as "lncRNA (ENSNSUG00000006718.1)". Lineage: Eukaryota; Metazoa; Chordata; Lepidosauria; Squamata; Elapidae. The record is from RNAcentral.
AAACUUCUGGCUGGAAGCACACACACACACACCCCAAACUUCUCUCCCCCGCCCCUGUCCUGCAGACGCUCUGGAUGCCCUUCCCAAUGGCUUUGCCUGUCUCCCUCCGGCGGACGGCGACCUCUGCUCCUUGCCCGGCUUGCCGGACGCCACAAUCCUCAUCAGCAACGUCUGUAGCAUCGGAGGCCACGUGGCUGAGAAACUCUUCCAAGGGAGCCGGGACAGCAAGUGGCCGGUGGAUCCUUUGGCCGGCCGGGCGGAAGGCGAGGGCCGGCCGGUCGAGGCGGCUCCCGAAGAGGCCGAAGAGAGGCCAGCCGAGAACAUGGCUCAGCCCGGUCUGCUGCGGGAGGAACACAUCACGUGUGUGCACAGUAUCUUGGACAAGUUCCUGCAGGCGUACGGCAGCCUCAUCCCCAUCAGCGUGGAUGAGGUGCUGGCGAAGCUAGAGGACAUCUUUCAGCAGGAAUUCUCCACCCUCCAGAGGAAAAGCUUGGUGAACCAGCUGAUCCAGUCCUACCAGCGCAUACCGGGCAACGCCGUGCUGCGGACCUUCCGGGUGACUUACAAGCGCCACGUGGUGACCAUGGACGACCUGCAGACCCUCUUUGGCUCCAACUGGCUGAACGACCAG